RNAcentral lists this long non-coding RNA (1400 nucleotides) under Trifolium pratense (red clover). Its description in RNAcentral is "long non-coding RNA (TPRA_LNC000012)". The record is from RNAcentral. Lineage: Eukaryota; Viridiplantae; Streptophyta; Magnoliopsida; Fabales; Fabaceae.
UCCUGACCUAUUUAAUCUCAUACUUCAUGUGUUACCUAAAAUUGCAAAAAUUAGCGUUUCAGUAGUAAUUAACAAAAGGCAGCCAAAAUCAUAAUCUUAAUACAAAACAGAAAACAAUGAUAAGGGCCAAAUUUGCUCACCUAAAAUCACUCUUUAAGGUCGCAGUCCCGUUGUCGAGAUGAACUAAAUAAUAAAUUUCAAGCUUGAUGAUAUUGAAAGUUACUCCCAUAUUUCCCUUCAGCUUGAAUACAUUUUAACCAAUAGAUCUUGAAAGACAUCAACAACUGUUGAACCUCGCAAAAGUUUUAGAAACAAAAUCAGGUUUAAAAAUUUAUAAAGUAAAAGGAAACAUUAAAUUAGACACAAUGAGCUGAAAUUUUGCAAGAGAAGGAAUUCAAACCUCACAUAGGCCAUCCAAUAUUAAACUCGGUGAGAUAUAGAAAGGAAAGAGGUAAUUGAGCAAAUUUGAAUUUUGAAUUGAAGAGGGAACAUGUGUGUAUAUAUAAUCAUAAACAAAAAUAAAAACCAAAUAGAACAAAAAGACAAUAGGUGACUAAUGCAUUUAAGUAACAACAAUGUUUUAAAACAUGAGAUUAUUUUGAAAAGUCUUCAAAAUAAUAAACAUGAGAUUUAUUUACUGAAACCAAGAACUAAUAAACUGAAAACAAUACCUAAAGAAAAAAAAUGUGACUAUUGAGAUCUAUCGUUCACUAAGCACUAUUCACUCUCUCAUUCUCUUCUACUUCAUUGUAUUCCUAAGAGAAGAAUAAAGACCCAUAAACACAACAACAAAAGAUGGAAAUAUGAACAUUUUCAUAUCACAAUAAUUUUUUUGGAUGAAUCAGAUAAAAUUCUAAGAAUGAGACUUCUAAGGUUCAUGUUCAAUUAAGUACCUUCCUAAUUUAUAUUAUAAACCAAAUUGUUAUGGCUUGACAUAUUUAAAGGGAUAGUGAACCAACAAAGCCUUCUAAGAAUGAGACACUUAAGGUUCAUGUUCAGUUAAGAAAAAAAAUGGAGUGAAGAGAAGGACUCACCUUGUAAAUCAGAAUGCUAAGGGAAAACAUGGCAAGCCACUCCUUCAUCAUGGCAUUGCUAAUCUUGCUACAUUCUCUCAAUAAUAGUUAAUAGCAACUUUCCAACUUCAUUCUCGUUACUCGCCCUUCAAAAAAAUGAAUGUGUUAAAAAUGUCUGGGAGAGAAAUCCAACAAACAAAUUUAGGAUGGAGAUAAUAUGACAAACACAAUAGAAAGUAAUAGAGAGAGAGGAUAUCAGAUAAUUUUUUAAAAAAAGUAACGAAGAUAAGGAUAAACUGAUUUCUAACAAAAGAUAAAACUCAUACUAUGUAUUCUUUGAUAUCUAAAAAAGUAACGAAGAUAAAACUUAUCUAAACUAAAUUGAUA